AUUCUCUUUUUCUAGACUCUACUACUUCUUUCUCUUCUUCGUUCUCGUCUUUCUCUUCACAUUCCCAUCAUUGUUUUUUCUUUUAAAUCUGAAGCUUUAAUCCAUGGCAGCUGGCUGAAAAAAAAAUCCAUGGCAGCUAUGACUGAAAAUCUCCAUCAACUUAAUCCGCCUUUAAUGAGUUUACAGCGUGAGUGAAAAUGUUAGAAACGGAUUCAUCACCCUCAGGGAAUAUGACGGGCGGAGAACGUCGUUGCUGUCACGGUUCCAUCACAGUCGCAGCCGCAGCCGCUCAACCAGCGGCUCAUAUUUUUGCGAAAACCCUAAUAUUUUAUUGGGUUGGGCUAUAUUAAUUGUAUGUUUGGGUUUUUGUUAACUGUAUUUUGGGCCUCUUAUUGUAUUUGUAAUGGUUUUUAGUCAGAUUUUGAUUUUGUGAUAGAGUAAAUUUUCAUAUUUUUAA
Molecule: long non-coding RNA, 457 nt
Organism: Camelina sativa (false flax)
Lineage: Eukaryota; Viridiplantae; Streptophyta; Magnoliopsida; Brassicales; Brassicaceae
Source: RefSeq, a predicted model, not a curated record